GGAUGUGAGGGUGAUCUUUUUGCAACAUCUGUCACCUCACUGAUCACCAAGGUUGAUUUGCCUGCUCGGUUGGCUAGCCUGGGGUCCCCUUAAGCCUUCACCACUCCAUGUGCAUCCCUCCCCAAGCUACUGCACAAGGUCAGAGAAGACAACCAUCCCCGGUAAGGGAUACCCCCGAUCUUACAUCAAGAGUAUCUGGGUAGCUGUGCUACCCUGCUAGACUCUCCCAACAAACUCUCAAGGUCCAUUGUAGGAGAAUGUAGGGUAAAAAAGUAUAAAACAAUGAUCUGAAAACUGAAGGAUUAGAUGUAAAGAUGAAAUGAAUCCAUAGGCUGGAUGUCUCUUC
This is an unclassified non-coding RNA of Mustela putorius furo (domestic ferret), 346 nucleotides long. Its record names the gene 7SK. It matches the Rfam family "7SK RNA". Rfam says of the family: 7SK was discovered as an abundant small nuclear RNA in the mid-70s but a possible function has only recently been suggested. Lineage: Eukaryota; Metazoa; Chordata; Mammalia; Carnivora; Mustelidae. The record is from Ensembl.